GACGAACGCUGGCGGCGUGCUUAGCACAUGCAAGUCGAGCGGUAAGGCCCUUUCGGGGGUACACGAGCGGCGAACGGGUGAGUAACACGUGGGUGACCUGCCCUCAGCUCUGGGAUAAGCCUGGGAAACCGGGUCUAAUACUGGAUAUGACUCCAUGACGCAUGUUGUGGGGUGGAAAGCCUUGUGCGGCUGAGGAUGGGCCCGCGGCCUAUCAGCUUGUUGGUGGGGUGAUGGCCUACCAAGGCGACGACGGGUAGCCGGCCUGAGAGGGCGACCGGCCACACUGGGACUGAGACACGGCCCAGACUCCUACGGGAGGCAGCAGUGGGGAAUCUUGCGCAAUGGGCGAAAGCCUGACGCAGCGACGCCGCGUGAGGGAUGACGGCCUC
RNAcentral lists this ribosomal RNA (389 nucleotides) under uncultured bacterium. RNAcentral describes it as "bacterial SSU rRNA". It matches the Rfam family "Bacterial small subunit ribosomal RNA", at positions 28 to 418 of the family's 1533-position model. The record is from RNAcentral.